RNAcentral lists this ribosomal RNA (668 nucleotides) under uncultured Geobacter sp. RNAcentral describes it as "bacterial SSU rRNA". It matches the Rfam family "Bacterial small subunit ribosomal RNA", at positions 28 to 674 of the family's 1533-position model. The record is from RNAcentral. Lineage: Bacteria; Pseudomonadati; Thermodesulfobacteriota; Desulfuromonadia; Geobacterales; Geobacteraceae.
AACGAACGCUGGCGGCGUGCCUAACACAUGCAAGUCGAACGGGGUUAAGGGGCUUGCUCCUUAACUUAGUGGCGCACGGGUGAGUAACGCGUGGAUAAUCUGCCCGAUGCUCUGGGAUAACAUCUCGAAAGGGGUGCUAAUACCGGAUAAGCCCACGGACUCUUUGGAGUUUGCGGGAAAAGGGGGGGACCUUCGGGCCUCCCGACAUCGGAUGAGUCCGCGUCCCAUUAGCUAGUUGGUGGGGUAAAGGCCUACCAAGGCGACGAUGGGUAGCUGGUCUGAGAGGAUGAUCAGCCACACUGGAACUGAGACACGGUCCAGACUCCUACGGGAGGCAGCAGUGGGGAAUUUUGCGCAAUGGGGGCAACCCUGACGCAGCAACGCCGCGUGAGUGAUGAAGGCCUUUGGGUCGUAAAGCUCUGUCAGAGGGAAAGAAAUGUGGGCGACUAAUAAUUGUUCCACUUGACGGUACCCUCAAAGGAAGCACCGGCUAACUCCGUGCCAGCAGCCGCGGUAAUACGGAGGGUGCGAGCGUUGUUCGGAAUUAUUGGGCGUAAAGCGCGUGUAGGCGGUUUAUUAAGUCUGAUGUGAAAGCCCUGGGCUCAACCUGGGAAGUGCAUUGGAUACUGGUAGACUUGAGUACGGGAGAGGGCAGUGGAAUUCCCAGU